CUUGGUCAUUUAGAGGAAGUAAAAGUCGUAACAAGGUUUCCGUAGGUGAACCUGCGGAAGGAUCAUUAAUGAACCUCUGAGGGUUGAGCUGGCGUUUACUCGCAUGUGCUUACCCUCUCAUCCUUUUAUUACACCUGUGCACUUUUGAAGGGAGUAACUAGUAGGCGUUUUUACUAAUGUCGAAUGUAACUCCCUUUACACACAUACACUUUAUUUAUUAAUGAAUGUUCAAACGCUUAACAGCAUUUAAAUACAACUUUUAACAACGGAUCUCUUGGCUCUCGCAUCGAUGAAGAACGCAGCGAAAUGCGAUAAGUAAUGUGAAUUGCAGAAUUCAGUGAAUCAUCGAAUCUUUGAACGCACCUUGCGCUCCCUGGUAUUCCGGGGAGCACGCCUGUUCGAGCGUCAUGAAGCUCUCAAACACUUUGUUUUCUUAAUUGCGAGCGAAUGUGUUUGGAUUUGGACUCUGCUGUGUAACAAACAGCUGGUCCGAAAUGUAUUAGCGGAUCCUAGUGCAGCUUGGUUCUACUCGACGUGAUAAUUAUCUAUCGUUGAGGACAUCUCUUUUAUUAGAGGUGGCCAAACUAAUCAAAGGAUUGCUUCUAAUCGUCUUCAUUGACAAAUUUUAUCUAUCAUCUGACCUCGAAUCAGGCGGGACUACCCGCUGAACUUAAGCAUAUCAAUAAGCGGAGGAAAAGAAACUAACAAGGAUUCCCUUAGUAACGGCGAGUGAAGCGGGAUGAGCUCAAAUUUAAAAUCUGGUGUCCUUUGGGCAUCCGAGUUGUAGUCUAGAGAAGUGUUUUCCGUGUCGGACCAUGUACAAGUCUCCUGGAACGGAGCGUCAUAGAGGGUGAGAAUCCCGUUCUUGACAUGGACCCCCGAUGCUAUGUGAUGCACUCUCAAAGAGUCGAGUUGUUUGGGAUUGCAGCUCAAAAUGGGAGGUAAAUUCCUUCUAAAGCUAAAUACAGGCGAGAGACCGAUAGCGAACAAGUACCGUGAGGGAAAGAUGAAAAGCACUUUGGAAAGAGAGUUAAACAGUACGUGAAAUUGUUAAAAGGGAAACGAUUGAAGUCAGUCGCGUUUAUUUGGACUCAGCCUUACCUCGGUUUGGUGCAUUUCCUUGUAAACGGGCCAACGUCGAUGUUGACCGCUGGAAAAAGGUGUAGGGAAUGUGGCUCUUUCGGGAGUGUUAUAGCCCUAUAUCAUAUGCAGUGGUUGCUAUCGAGUGUAACAGCACGCUUUUGCGGUGCUUGUGUUGGCAUAAUGGCUUUAAACGACCCGUCUUGAAACACGGACC
Molecule: ribosomal RNA, 1297 nt
Filed under: uncultured fungus
Lineage: Eukaryota; Fungi
Description: eukaryotic LSU rRNA
Rfam family: Eukaryotic large subunit ribosomal RNA (bases 638-1297)
Source: RNAcentral